This 1197-nucleotide small RNA is filed under the name Drosophila ananassae. Its description in RNAcentral is "GF26539". Lineage: Eukaryota; Metazoa; Arthropoda; Insecta; Diptera; Drosophilidae. The record is from RNAcentral.
UGUAUCGACUGCGUAUACGUAUUAGUGUUCGGUUACUGUUUCUGUUUCAGUUUUGAGGUCCUGGCAAAUUGGUCAUGGCCCGUGUUUAAUGGGCUUUGCGACAAAGGCUUUCAAACGAGCUUUGUGCCACACAGGAAUACUCGCAGCCCCACAAAAUCUCCAGCAUGUGUCGCCGGCUUUGUCUGUCCAAUUUGCUUUCCAAAUCCAAUUGCUUGAUAUGUGUACAUAUAAAUAAGUCAAUUAACAUUUCAAUGUCAAUUUCCUACUGCCUACUGGAUGGGGGCAAGGCAACAAAUCUCGGGCAGCCAGUGGAAAAAGAAAAAUUUGUUCUUGACCUAGAAACAAAGGCAGGCACCAGGCAGCACAGGCACAAAACGAUGACGACACCAGACAGGGGAUUCCCCACCAACGACGACGUCACCAAAAAGGCCAGGACACGAAGAAAAGAAGAGCGAACCAAACAAAAAUUAAAAUUAAAACAAGGACACAAAAAAAAAAGAAGAAAGCUCCCUCGUCCCCACCCGCACACAAGCCCAAUAGCUAGAGACGCCACAACACCAAGGAGGAGGAGGAGCAAGUGGGGAUCCGCCAACAGCCGGCAGCUGUGGGCCAGGACAAAAAAUAAGAAAGAAAGACUGGGACGGGCCGGGAGCAGCCAGAAGUGGGUUAAUAAGCAAAACUCAGACGACGAUGAUGACGAUGGAAAAUGGCAACGAAGUGCAUAAUCAACAAGAGAGGAAAAUUCGCAGUGGGUGCGAACUUUACUCAUUUUCAUUUAGGUUCUCGGUCUCCGGAAAACUUUGCCGGCAUCCCUCCGUGAGUAUCUAUGUGUGUGCUGCCCUGGUGUGGGGAAAUGAACGAAGAGCCGAGAGGAAAGAGAGAAAACCUCAAGGAGCGCGAAAAUGAAACCAAAGACACUGCCACGGAAAGUCUGAGCGCCAAGUUUCCCGCCCACUGGCGGCCUCCUGCUCCUCCUCCUCCUCCUCUUCUGGCUAAAUUAGCUGCAACAGCCGCGCGACAUUAAAAAGUUUGCCAGGACCCGACCCUGACUCCCUUGGCAGCUCGGAAAAAAAAAAUAAAUGAAAAGAAAAUGCAAAGAAAAUUUACCGUGAAAAGUGAAAUUAAAAUGGAAAAGAAAAGAAGUUGAAAACUUUUAGGAGUGCAGUGGAAAUUAGCGGCAAGUGGAAAGAGUCAAGG